This 483-nucleotide ribosomal RNA is filed under the name uncultured bacterium. RNAcentral's name for it is "partial 16S ribosomal RNA". It matches the Rfam family "Bacterial small subunit ribosomal RNA", at positions 28 to 523 of the family's 1533-position model. The record is from RNAcentral.
GACGAACGCUGGCGGCGUGCUUAACACAUGCAAGUCGAACGGAAAGGCCCUGCUUCUGUGGGUGCUCGAGUGGCGAACGGGUGAGUAACACGUGAGUAACCUGCCCUUGACUUUGGGAUAACUUCAGGAAACUGGGGCUAAUACAGGAUAGGAGCUCCUGCUGAAUGGUGGGGGUUGGAAAGUUUCGGCGGUUGGGGUUGGACGCGCGGCAUAGCAGCUUGUUGGUGGGGUAGUGGCUUACCAAGGCUUCGACGGGUAGCCGGCCUGAGAGGGGGACCGGACACAUUGGAACUGAGAUACGGCCCAGACUCCUACGGGAGGCAGCAGUGGUGAAUAUUGCACGAUGGGCGGAAGCCUGAUGCAGCAACGCCGCGUGCGGGAUGACGGCCUUCGGGUUGUAAACCGCUUUCGCCUGUGACGAAGCGUGAGUGACGGUAAAGGGUAAAGAAGCACCGGCUAACUACGUGCCAGCCGCCGCGGUAA